CCGACUGAUUGCUAAUUGUUAAAGUUGGAAACUCUUCUUUCAACAGUUUGUUCCAUGUCUACAGCAUGUAUGUCAGCCCUUGCGGGAAUUUUGUCUUCGGCAAAAUUCUUCGUUGAGGUUGUCAUUUUGGGGAUUGAUAAAACUUUGCCAAAUCAUUCGGUUGAGAGAGUGCAAGCACUUCUCCCUGAUAUCUAUAUUAUUUCGUGUGCGCAAUUUGUAUUAUGAUAUAAAUGGAUUUCAGGCCUUUAUCUCUCCAAUAAGUUGGUGCACAUAGAAAUUAAUCCCAUGGAAUUGUAUGAUUUUGUUUAGUGAGUUUUUUUUAUUUUAGAUAAGAGGCUUUACGCUCUGUUCCGUUUUAUCCGAAAAGAAACAACAUCGUUAGCAUUUAGUGAGUUUGCUCUUGAAAUAUUAGUGUCUGAUUUUUACGUCCACGCAUAUUCUCGCAUGGUGGAUUUUUCUUUCUUUUUCUCAAUACAUUGCAUUGUUUAUCUUUGCAGACAUUCAAAUUUCAUUAUCAACAACAACUGUUGCUACGGAUUUCCGAAGCAAAACACGGGGAGUCAUCUAGUAUCUACUUGUUAUUGGGUAUUCCCUCUGUUUCUAAAUUCUUAUCAUGAUUUUAGUUUAUAUUUUUACAUUUGAACUAAAACAGCGGCACGAAUUAGAAACGGAGUGAGUAAUGGAAAAUAUUAUCGUACCAUGUAUGGUUGCUAUGUUGCUCCUUGACAAGAGACCUCUUCAGAUUGAUCAAAAUCGUGUGUCAGUAAUUCCCGUGCGGCCAUGCUUGCUUCCAAGUCCAACAUAGCAUAUGUCAGCUGCCCAAUUAAUAACUUACACAAUGCGCUGACCCAGGCCCAACCAGAUCGAGGAGAGGCGAUGGUGGCCCGGCCAGGAACGACGGGCCCUUCGUGGGUCGUGGCUACGUCAUGGCAACUGGGCUCGGCCUUGUAAAAUGAGUUCUAUAUAUAUGGUUGUUUCGCUCAAAAAAAAGAAAAACAGCUGCGGUUGUUAACAGAAAGGGUGGCGAAAGAGUAGGCGGCUCUGCCGCGAGUUAGAGGUCCCCCGGUUCCUCGAUCUCGACUGAUCACAGUUCCCAUGUUUGAGCGCGG
This 1109-nucleotide long non-coding RNA is filed under the name Brachypodium distachyon (stiff brome). RNAcentral describes it as "long non-coding RNA (BDIS_LNC004867)". Lineage: Eukaryota; Viridiplantae; Streptophyta; Magnoliopsida; Poales; Poaceae. The record is from RNAcentral.